AUUGAACGCUAGCGGGAUGCUUUACACAUGCAAGUCGAACGGCAGCGCGGACUUCGGUCUGGCGGCGAGUGGCGAACGGGUGAGUAAUGUAUCGGAACGUGCCCAGUAGCGGGGGAUAACUACGCGAAAGCGUAGCUAAUACCGCAUACGCCCUACGGGGGAAAGCAGGGGAUCGUAAGACCUUGCACUAUUGGAGCGGCCGAUAUCGGAUUAGCUAGUUGGUGAGGUAACGGCUCACCAAGGCGACGAUCCGUAGCUGGUUUGAGAGGACGACCAGCCACACUGGGACUGAGACACGGCCCAGACUCCUACGGGAGGCAGCAGUGGGGAAUUUUGGACAAUGGGGGCAACCCUAAUCCAGCCAUCCCGCGUGUGCGAUGAAGGCCUUCGGGUUGUAAAGCACUUUUGGCAGGAAAGAAACGUCGCGGGCUAAUACCCCGUGGAACUGACGGUACCUGCAGAAUAAGCACCGGCUAACUACGUG
RNAcentral lists this ribosomal RNA (484 nucleotides) under uncultured bacterium. Its description in RNAcentral is "partial 16S ribosomal RNA". It matches the Rfam family "Bacterial small subunit ribosomal RNA", at positions 30 to 507 of the family's 1533-position model. The record is from RNAcentral.